GGAGGGGGGGCCGCGACCCGGCCCGCGGAGCCGGCGCCAGCGGGCUGCUGAGGUGGCUGUCGCCGGCUCGGAGCUGCGGCUUCCCCGGGUCGAGCCCCCGAUGGAGGCCGAGGCCGCGGAUGGCCCCCCGGGAGGGGUCGAGGCGGCGCUCAGCUGCUUCUCUUUCAACCAGGACUGCACAUCCCUAGCAAUUGGAACCAAAGCCGGUUAUAAGCUGUUUUCUUUGAGUUCUGUGGAGCAACUGGACCAAGUCCAUGGAAGCAACGAAAUCCCGGAUGUCUACAUCGUGGAGCGCCUCUUCUCCAGCAGCCUGGUCGUGGUGGUCAGUCACACAAAGCCGCGGCAGAUGAACGUCUAUCACUUCAAGAAAGGCACGGAGAUCUGUAAUUACAACUAUUCCAGCAACAUCUUGUCCAUAAGGCUGAACCGGCAGAGGCUGCUGGUGUGCCUGGAGGAGGCCAUCUACAUCCACAACAUCAAAGACAUGAAGCUCUUGAAGACCAUCCUGGAUAUUCCUGCCAACCCAGCAGGUCUCUGUGCCCUCUCUAUCAACCAUUCCAAUUCUUACGUGGCCUAUCCUGGAAGCCUGACCACAGGCGAGAUUGUGCUUUACGACGGACACUCCCUGAAAACUGUCUGCACGAUUGCUGCCCACGAGGGGACGCUGGCCGCCAUCACCUUCAAUGCCUCGGGCUCCAAACUAGCGAGCGCAUCUGAAAAAGGCACCGUCAUCCGGGUGUUCUCUGUACCUGACGGGCGAAAGCUCUACGAGUUUCGGAGAGGAAUGAAAAGGUACGUGACAAUCAGCUCCCUAGUUUUUAGUAUGGACUCGCAGUUCCUCUGCGCCUCAAGCAACACCGAGACCGUGCACAUCUUCAAGCUGGAGCACCUCACCAACAGCCGACCCGAGGAGCCCUCCACCUGGACUGGCUACAUGGGAAAGAUGUUCAUGGCCGCUUCCAACUACCUCCCCGCCCAGGUGUCCGACAUGAUGAACCAGGACAGGGCCUUUGCCACCGGGCGCUUGCACUUCUCUGGGCAGAGGAACAUCUGCACCCUCUCCACGAUCCAGAAACUGCCAAGACUCCUGGUCGCGUCUUCCGAUGGACACCUUUACAUCUACAAUUUGGACCCUCAGGACGGAGGAGAAUGUGUCUUAAUCAAGACCCACAGCUUGCUUAGCUCAGGAACAACAGAAGAAAACAAAGAAAAUGACCUCAGACCUCCAUUACCUCAGUCUUAUGCAGCGACCGUGGCCAGACCAAGCACGUCUUCUGCCUCUACCGUGCCAGGUUAUUCUGAGGACGGCGGGGCCCUCCGAGGAGAGGUUAUUCCUGAACACGAGUUUGCGACGGGACCAGUAUGCCUUGACGACGAGAAUGAAUUUCCCCCUGUGAGCAGUAGGAAUCCCUAAAAGAGCGGCCCAGUCUGUGUGCUGGGAGGGAAACCUUCCCCUCGCGCACCAGGCGAGGUCACUUUCCCGGUGGUCUAGUCCUGUAACAGCUAACCUCCUCGCUCCCGUUCAGAAAGCCACAGACGGUGUGCCGUGCCGUGUGCUUCAGACCCUGUAGACUGGCCACCAGGUGUCGGGCUGAACACGGCAGCAUUAGAAUAACACCGGAUACUAAUCGGGGGGGCGGGUCUCGGCGGCCUCACUACGUCCGGAGGCCUGGAACCCUUAGCUUGGCUUCGUUAGCACUAUCUCUGCUGCUCGCGAGGCAGGAAUUCACGCCUGCAUCAACUCCUGUUUUCCUGAGGCUCCUAAGGAUGUGUUUGUGGGAUCCUGCCACCUUUUUGCUAACGACGAUGCUCUAACGGGGCUGGGCCGCUGCUCUCUGCAAGCCAGCCGGACCCUCACCCUCCUCCGGCUCGGAUAAUCUUGUGCCGUGGAAGUCAGAAGGGCAAAACGAAGCAGUCAUGAUGAGAAGCGCACCUCAGAAAGCAGGACACCCCCUGUCAGGUGGUUGUGGAGAAAACAAGGAAGGUGGAAGAAUGGAGUACAGUUGUGUGCGCAGAAAGGGGGGCAGGAAUCCCAGGUGCCGCCUGCUUAAGCCACGGGACGCGGUCCACUGCUCACCAAACUCUCCUCCGCCCCGGUUGCCAGCAGGCAUGGGAGAGACUAUAUGAAAUCUGUUACAGCCAUCGCGUCGAUGCUCACUAACCACGUUGGUCUAUAGCCGGAACUUUAUAUGAACGAGGGCAUCCUUUUUAAACGUAUGCCAUGUAAAAAUGUACGUAGAGGAAAACCCCUUUGAAUUGUAUUUCUUGUAUAUGACAUAUAGAGAGACUGCUUUUAGCCAGGCAAAGUAUUUUUGCAGUGAUUGGAAUGAAUCAUUUAUUACCUUGGAGUCCCAUUUAGGACACUUAUAAUAAAAUCAUGGCAAUGUGUUUUUGA
Molecule: RNA transcript, 2395 nt
Organism: Neofelis nebulosa (Clouded leopard)
Lineage: Eukaryota; Metazoa; Chordata; Mammalia; Carnivora; Felidae
Gene: WIPI1
Gene name: WD repeat domain, phosphoinositide interacting 1
Exons: 13
Source: RefSeq, a predicted model, not a curated record